This 71-nucleotide transfer RNA is filed under the name Candidatus Pacearchaeota archaeon. RNAcentral describes it as "tRNA-Gly". It matches the Rfam family "tRNA". Rfam says of the family: Transfer RNA (tRNA) molecules are approximately 80 nucleotides in length. The record is from RNAcentral. Lineage: Archaea; Nanobdellati.
GCGUUGUUAGUUUAUCGGUAGAAUUCUGGCUUCCCAAGCCAGAGAGGCGGGUUCAAUUCCCGCACGGCGCA